CAGGAUGAACGCUAGCUACAGGCUUAACACAUGCAAGGUCGAGGGGCAGCGUGGUCUUAGCUUGCUAAGAUUGAUGGCGACCGGCGCACGGGUGAGUAACGCGUAUCCAACCUUCCCUAUAGUAGGGGAUAGCCCGUAGAAAUGCGGAUUAAUACCCUAUGUUGUAUUUCGAUGACAUCUGACGAAUACCAAAGGUUCACCGCUAUAGGAUGGGGAUGCGUCUGAUUAGGUAGUCGGCGGGGUAACGGCCCACCGAGCCAGCGAUCAGUAGGGUUCUGAGAGGAAGGUCCCCCACAUUGGAACUGAGACACGGUCCAAACUCCUACGGGAGGCAGCAGUGAGGAAUAUUGGUCAAUGGGCGAGAGCCUGAACCAGCCAAGUAGCGUGCAGGAUGACGGCCCUAUGGGUUGUAAACUGCUUUUAUGCGGGGAUAAAGUGAGGGACGUGUCCCUUAUUGUAGGUACCGCAUGAAUAAGGACCGGCUAAUUCCGUGCCAGCCGCUGC
RNAcentral lists this ribosomal RNA (504 nucleotides) under uncultured bacterium. RNAcentral describes it as "bacterial SSU rRNA". It matches the Rfam family "Bacterial small subunit ribosomal RNA", at positions 25 to 518 of the family's 1533-position model. The record is from RNAcentral.